This 273-nucleotide ribosomal RNA is filed under the name uncultured bacterium. RNAcentral's name for it is "partial 16S ribosomal RNA". It matches the Rfam family "Bacterial small subunit ribosomal RNA", at positions 524 to 796 of the family's 1533-position model. The record is from RNAcentral.
UACGAAGGGGGCUAGCGUUGUUCGGAAUCACUGGGCGUAAAGGGCGCGUAGGCGGCCGUUCAAGUCGGGGGUGAAAGCCUGUGGCUCAACCACAGAAUGGCCUUCGAUACUGGACGGCUCGAGACCGGAAGAGGUCAGUGGAACUGCGAGUGUAGAGGUGAAAUUCGUAGAUAUUCGCAAGAACACCAGUGGCGAAGGCGGCUGACUGGUCCGGUUCUGACGCUGAGGCGCGAAAGCGUGGGGAGCAAACAGGAUUAGAAACCCGCGUAGUCC